This 66-nucleotide transfer RNA is filed under the name Parafagocyba longa. Its description in RNAcentral is "tRNA-His". Lineage: Eukaryota; Metazoa; Arthropoda; Insecta; Hemiptera; Cicadellidae. The record is from RNAcentral.
AUUAAAGUAGUUUAUUACCUCAAAAUAAGGAGUUGUGGAUUCCUAGAUCCUGCUAAGGCUUUAAUU